Pelobates cultripes (western spadefoot toad) is the source of this 233-nucleotide non-coding RNA. NCBI's taxonomy places the organism in Eukaryota, Metazoa, Chordata, Amphibia, Anura, Pelobatidae. The record is from the annotation of a GenBank genome assembly.
GUUUACUGCCAUAUGGAUGCAAGGAACCGCCACUUCCAGAAAAGUGACUGUUUAUCACCAAACAUAUGGUGCUUCUCGCUUAAGCCCCCAUUUAGUGGGUUUCUAUUUGUUUGUUUGUUUAUUUAUUACGGGCAUUUAUAAAACACCAACAUACUCUGCAGAGCUGUUCAAUUAGGGGAGAAUGUACAAUAUACAAAUUUUAAAGGUAAAGAGGGCCCUGCCUGUAAGCUGAG